This 222-nucleotide ribosomal RNA is filed under the name uncultured bacterium. Its description in RNAcentral is "partial 16S ribosomal RNA". It matches the Rfam family "Bacterial small subunit ribosomal RNA", at positions 1280 to 1500 of the family's 1533-position model. The record is from RNAcentral.
AGCCAAUCUCAGUUCGGAUCGUAGGCUGCAACUCGCCUACAUGAAGUUGGAAUCGCUAGUAAUCGCGAAUCAGAAUGUCGCGGUGAAUACGUUCCCGGGUCUUGUACACACCGCCCGUCACACCACGAGAGUUUACAACACCCGAAGUCAGUGGCCUAACCGCAAGGAGGGAGCUGCCUAAGGUGGGGUAGAUGAGUUGGGGUGAAGUCGUAACAAGGUAAC